RNAcentral lists this ribosomal RNA (504 nucleotides) under uncultured bacterium. RNAcentral describes it as "bacterial SSU rRNA". It matches the Rfam family "Bacterial small subunit ribosomal RNA", at positions 8 to 509 of the family's 1533-position model. The record is from RNAcentral.
AGAGUUUGAUCCUGGCUCAGGAUGAACGCUGGCGGCGUGCCUAACACAUGCAAGUCGAGCGAGAAAUCUAUGUGUUGAAACUUCGGUAGAAACUUUUAGAUGGAAAGCGGCGGACGGGUGAGUAACGCGUAGGCAACCUGCCCUUAGCAGGGGGAUAGCCAUUGGAAACGAUGAUUAAAACCCCAUAAUGCGAAUUUAUCACAUGUUGAAUUCGCCAAAGAUUUAUCGGCUAAGGAUGGGCCUGCGUCUGAUUAGGUAGUUGGUGAGGUAACGGCCCACCAAGCCUACGAUCAGUAGCCGACCUGAGAGGGUGAUCGGCCACAUUGGAACUGAGACACGGUCCAAACUCCUACGGGAGGCAGCAGUGGGGAAUAUUGCACAAUGGGCGAAAGCCUGAUGCAGCAACGCCGCGUGAAGGAUGAAGGUCUUCGGAUCGUAAACUUCUGUCCUUGGGGAAGAAACAAAUGACGGUACCCAUGGAGGAAGCCCGGCUAACUACGUGCC